Columba livia (rock pigeon) is the source of this 4111-nucleotide long non-coding RNA. RefSeq lists it as uncharacterized. The transcript is spliced from 2 exons. NCBI's taxonomy places the organism in Eukaryota, Metazoa, Chordata, Aves, Columbiformes, Columbidae. The record is from RefSeq and is a predicted model, not a curated record.
CAUUCCCUUUUAUCUGUUUCUGGAGGUGGGCUGGGUCUGCAUGGGCGUGAAGAGGAAACAAAUUUACUGUCUUCAUCAGCUUGGUGCGGUUAACAGAUUUUUGCCAAAUUGUUCACUCCACCCAGAAAUACGCUUUGCAACGCAGAAGAGAAUAAAAGAGCAAGAGCACUGAAACAGGUCUCAAUGAGUAAGUGGACUCUCAUAUCUUUAUGGCAUCUGUAAAAAUAUGUUUUACAUGGAUGUAGUCAUGUUCUUGCCUCCUCCCACCUUUCUAUCUGUUCUUAACGACUUUGCAGUUUGCUGGAUGACACUCAGUGUCAAGCAAGCAUUUUGGUGAAAACCACCUAGAACGAGACUUUCACAAUUCCCCCGAGCACGCCCCAAAUCUGCUUCUUAAGUGGAAAAUUGCUGAUGUCUUUCAAGAGGCAGUUUCCCAUUAUAGAGCAAAAACACCACACAUUAACAUUUGACAACAGUCAGCGUUUCCUUUGUACCCAGGAGGAGGCGCGUAGCUGCUCUGCAGAGAGCAGCGCUGGAGACGGGAGACACGAGAGCCUCUUCCAGGGCACGGUCCUGCCUCUGAGAGCCUGAGAUCGCCCAUACUGAGACGGAGCGCCCGGGCGGGAUGAGCAAGAGAACAAGGAUGUGGAAGCUCCUUCCUGGUGCUUUCCGGAUGGCCACAGGGUUGCCAAACCCGAGGAGGAACAAAAGGACGCUCCGGGCGCUAGAGAUGGUGACGAUGGCUGAGGACAGACAGACGGCAGAGAAACGCAGGCAGGGAUCACAGCGACUUCUUAAAAUAAUCCCCAUUUUUUCAACUGAAGCUGGUGGGCAAAUGAUCAGGAUGAGUUCGUCAUGCUUAAUUUUGAAAGAAGGGGCAACUAAAAGGCAGAAGAAGCUCUGACGCUUUCUUAAGUAAUAACAGUAUGAAACUUAAGAAGGAAAACCCAGUAUUUUCCUAGUUCUUAGUUCCUGAAAAUCAUCAAUAAAUGUGAAGGGAAAUACAUCUGAAAGCCUCUGAGGGUUCCAGCAGUCCAAUAUUAGACUAUGUUUAAGUUUCUAAAGCAGAAUGUACCUGUGUUUGAAUUUUCACAAUCACCAAGAAGACUUGUGCAAGAGUCGAUAUCAGACUUCAUCCACAGACACUUCAAACCCUUCGAACAAACAGCCCGGAGAAUCCCUUCCAAAAGCCACCAGAGGAGUCAGAAAUGCAAAUGUCGUUGGCGUUCAGAGGUGGAGGCGGCCGGACAACACGGGCUCUGCAUAGAGUGGGGUGUAAGUGGAGAACGUUGCCCUUGAGGGAUCAAAUAACGGUUGGCCAAGGGUUCUCCUGCCCUUGGGGGACCCAAGUCGUGGUUGGCCAAGGGUUCUCCUGCCCUUGGGGGACCCAAGUCGUGGUUGGCCAAGGGUUCUCCAGACAAGCGACAGCUGGAGAAGGGGCAGCAGAGAGGGGACGCCUUCCCUUGCAAAGCCAGUGCAAAUGGAGAAGCUCUUGUGUCUUGGUGGCCACCCCAAGAUGGAGAGUUAUGUGCUGCAGGUCACCGCCCAGCCCAGAGCGCCCGCUCCCGAUGAGCGGUCCCAGGGGGCUGAGGGUACCUGGGAUUAGUGAGAGCAAACAGGUCGGCUCUCCCCGCGGCCUCCUCCAGGUUGCCAGACACUCCAGAGCUGCCUCCUCUGGCCGUGCCGUCCCGCGUGGCGGCUCCAGGACAAGGGGGAAGAUCUGUUAAGUCAGCCGAAUGCCUGGAUGCUGACCGCAUUCGGCACAUACAGAUAAGACGCCCAGAUUGAGUCACUCUGACGUCUUCAGACAAGAUGUGCAGAUUAUACCGAACCUGGAGUCACUUCAGCCUCCUCCAGGUAAAACUCGACAGGCAGCCUGGGCUCAGCCGUUCCUUCAGAUCUCUUACGCAAGGAGCUGCGCGCAGCAAAAUCACCAACACCGGCAAAGUGUAAACUCUGCAGAAAAGGCAGAUGAAAACCAAGCCCGGCUGCAGCUCCAGAUCUCACCAAACAAAGAGACUCUGGCAGCGCAGAGAAUGUGGCAACGAGUGCUCACAGCAAUGCCUACUACGUCAUAUUUGAGAUGCUACAGCUGAGAAGAAACAGACUCUUAAAAUUAAGUACAAGAAUAGGCGACUCUUGCCCCGGGCCAAAGCCCAGAGAGCUCCUGGCUGUGCCCCAGUUCUCAGAGGCAUUGCCUUCCCAUCGGCUCCCGCUGGGCCCGGCCCGGCCCCGGCCCCAGCUCCAGCGCACUCCUACUGGGCUCCCAGGGAACAGGCGUCCUGUGAAAGCCCCGGAGCCGCUGGCCGCUGCCCUGCUGGGCCUCUUCCUGAGGCUGCAGCUUCCCGACCCGCUGCGGGGACACCGGCAGCUCACAAAAAGCUGUUGGGGGACUCCUGAGCCGCUACUGAAAGAGUUUUCUGCCCCUUUGACACCUUCUUGUGGUGGGGGAACCAAAGCACAGAUCAAACACGCCGGCGUUCUGCUCCCAGUCUGGCUCCCGCACCCCCUCCUGAUCUCUCCCCCUUGCUCUCAGUGCAAAGAGACCCUGGGGGAAUUAACGGGCUUUUCAGGGAGCUGGCGGGUCCCUGAGCCCACGGGUUCGGGGUCAAUCCUGCCCUCCCAGCCCGCCGUGUUCCCUCUGCUGGUCAGUGGUGGGGAGGCUGAGCUGCUGGUUCUGGUGCCGGGCUCUGCAGCCUACGUGGCCAUGGCCGACCUGUACACCAGAGGGCGGCUGCUUGGCCAGUGUCCAUGUCCCCCCUCCCCACUGUGGGAAACUGCAGCGGGUCUGUGGAAUCCUUGACAGAAAAUAUGGGAGUAGAGAUCAGCCUUGAGAUAUUAAGAUUUACCCUUGAGAAGGAUGGGAGUAAAGGAGUAUCCGGAGAGAGGAGAGAUGUACCCGUGAGAGAGAAGGGGAUAGAAGAAUAACAUGGAUGAUAGAAAAAUUAACCAAUGAGAUGUUAGUGCUGUAACUUGUAACCAAUGGUGAAAAGACACAUGAACCGGUAGAAUUGUAUAAAAAUGCACUUGUAGCAAUAAACAGCAUCCAUUACUUUCAUCUUGAAAGAACUUGGUCCAUGUCGUUUGUCCAUCUCAACCGCGACACCCCGCGGCCGCAGACCUGCCCUCCCACCCCUGCCCACGGGGCCACUGCUCCUGCUCUGCCCCCAGCACACCAGCUCUGCCCCAGGGCAGACGGCCAGCGGGAGCGGCCACGGGGGGCGCCCGCCCGCGCUGGUUGGUGCCAUGGCCGAGGAGCGAGGACCGGGACGGUGCUCCUGCCUCGGCCGAGUUGCUGCCCAUGGCGGGACGGGGCAUCCAGAACCCUCCGUUCUAGGUACGGCAUCGUGUUUUCGGGCACUGCGGGGAUGGGGAUGAGGCAAGAGGCAUCACCCAGGCUUGGACACUUGCUCGGCUCCCUCCACACACCCGUUCUGUUCCCCAAACAGUCACAACACGUUCAACAGCACAACCCACACCUUCCACCAAGUCGCUUCCCCAACACCUGAGCCACCUUGCCUAGAAGUGCUUUCCCACACAACGACACGAAGACAUGGAGAAUGUUCUCUGCAAUUUAUUGAGAAUGGCAACAUCUAACAGAAGAGGGAGGGUGCUGGGGACACGAGGACAGAGGGGGACACAGGCGCUUUAUACACAUUUGCCUUGGGCAGCCAGAAAUGUACAACGCAGCGAGAAAGGCAGAGCGGUGCCCUCCUGCAAACCAGCUCCCCGUGACGGCGUCCACGAGGGAGACUGUGCUUCGCUCAGAUGGUGAUUUCAUCCCUGGGCCUGGGACUAACGAGCAGCUCGCCAGGGCUGCUAACGGGACGUGGCAUUGCCAGCAGACCCCCCUGGUGGCACCGGGCCAGGCAGAUGAGCCGGUACGUGGUGCGCCGUGGGGGACACAGUUCAUUGCAUUGCGGGACACCGGAGCUGGGUUUAAGGAGGCUGGGCUGCUGCCGGAAGGAGAUGGGAGACGCUUCUUUCUGCUUUCAACCUGGGCCUGGGGCUCAGAAUCUCACUCCCGAAGAUUUGACAGAGGUGGUCGUGACACAUCUCCGUACAGAGGAUGAUCCCCCCCCGGAGCUGAAGCCACCUCCAGAGCCGCACA